This 367-nucleotide ribosomal RNA is filed under the name uncultured organism. RNAcentral describes it as "bacterial SSU rRNA". It matches the Rfam family "Bacterial small subunit ribosomal RNA", at positions 526 to 896 of the family's 1533-position model. The record is from RNAcentral.
CGUAGGUGGCAAGCGUUGUCCGGAUUUAUUGGGUUUAAAGGGUGCGUAGGCGGCUUUGUAAGUCAGUGGUGAAAUACUCCAGCUCAACUGGAGAGGUGCCAUUGAUACUGCAGAGCUAGAGUACUGAUGAGGUAGGCGGAAUGGACGGUGUAGCGGUGAAAUGCUUAGAUAUCGUCCAGAACACCGAUAGCGAAGGCAGCUUACUAAAGAGUAACUGACGCUGAGGCACGAAAGUGUGGGGAUCAAACAGGAUUAGAUACCCUGGUAGUCCACACUGUAAACGUUGAUCACUAGAUGUUGGCGAUACACUGCAGCGUUCCAGCAAAAGCGAUAAGUGAUCCACCUGGGGAGUACGCCCGCAAGGGUG